Molecule: ribosomal RNA, 253 nt
Filed under: uncultured bacterium
Lineage: Bacteria
Description: partial 16S ribosomal RNA
Rfam family: Bacterial small subunit ribosomal RNA
Source: RNAcentral
UACGUAGGGGGCGAGCGUUAUCCGGAUUCACUGGGUGUAAAGGGAGCGUAGACGGCGACGCAAGUCUGGAGUGAAAGCCCGGGGCCCAACCCCGGGACUGCUCUGGAAACUGCGGCGCUGGAGUACGGGAGGGGCAGGCGGAAUUCCUGGUGUAGCGGUGAAAUGCGUAGAUAUCAGGAGGAACACCGGCGGCGAAGGCGGCCUGCUGGACCGUGACUGACGUUGAGGCUCGAGAGCGUGGGGAGCAAACAGG